UCUCCUGUUGGGUUGCAUAGACCCACGUGUCCCCUGGCUUCCUGGACAGAGAGGUGUGCCAGCCUGGAAGGGAAGUGACAGCCCAGUGUUUCUUUGUGCUGUCACAUUCCAUCCUUUGCCACAAGAACAUUUGUUCCAUAUUCACGCUUAAGGAUUCCUCUGCCCCAGGCAGGCGAUCCAGGCUGCAAAGUGAAAUCUGAUGGGACACUGAAGCAUGACUGUGACCCGAGGAGGGAAGUGCAACGUAUGUGUCUCUGUCCCUUGCUGCUCAUUCACACAGAGCGUUCAAGAUGCUCUCUGAACCCACGAUGCAUCAGUGAUCGGUGAGACUCAAAGUGAGCACGAGGUCAUCAAGCUCCAUAUGAUCCUCAAUGAGGGAUGCCGUCCUCUCAAUAUUCAAGUCACCAUUCUACAGAGGACAGCUAGACUGCCCAGCAGAGGGACAUGACAGAGGUAAAAUCCUGCCCCUGUUUCCCUUGGACCUGGCUGAAUACCACUUUCACCAACCCAUGGAGCCACCCUGCCCUGACAGCUAGAAAGAGUCCAAGACACACAGAACAACCACUACCACCCCACUCUCAGCAGGAAACAGUUAGAGAAGACUGACCUUUAUCCCUUUUCCCAAAGAAUUGGGUCUUGAACUCUUGAGUGGGAAAACGUUACAGCAGGGCAGGAGAGCACUGCCUUCUCAACCCCCUGCUCUGACACCGAGGAAUGUCAGGCAACCAUUAGGUGCUGGUCAGGCAGUUAUUAAACUGUCUUGCUAAGAUAAUAAUUGGUUACAGCUGGCACCAGGGAACAACAAAAACAACUGAAAACAAUGGAAGCUGGUGAUCAGCAUCUUCCCAAUAAGAUCUCGGGAGUUGGGUGAGUGGGCUCAAACACGUGUACUAAGAGGCAAAAUGGUGGAGUUUAACUGGUAGAUGACCUUCCUCUAGGAACACUGGACUGAUUAGGGAAAAACCCUUCAAGUGAGCAUGGAUGCAACUUCAGUAAAUGCAUUGUGCAUGCAGCCCCUCCCAAGUGCUGGAAGACCACUGCUCAUGAGGACAGCCUGCCCCAAGGGAAGAAUCGGAGGAGGAGAAAUGGGGAUCCAGGAAAAAUGCCAAUGUA
This is a long non-coding RNA of Piliocolobus tephrosceles (Ugandan red Colobus), 1113 nucleotides long. RefSeq lists it as uncharacterized. The record is from RefSeq and is a predicted model, not a curated record. Lineage: Eukaryota; Metazoa; Chordata; Mammalia; Primates; Cercopithecidae. The transcript is spliced from 3 exons.